RNAcentral lists this transfer RNA (76 nucleotides) under Candidatus Amesbacteria bacterium RBG_16_48_31. RNAcentral's name for it is "tRNA-Glu". It matches the Rfam family "tRNA". From Rfam's summary of the family: Transfer RNA (tRNA) molecules are approximately 80 nucleotides in length. Their secondary structure includes four short double-helical elements and three loops (D, anti-codon, and T loops). The record is from RNAcentral. Lineage: Bacteria; Candidatus Amesiibacteriota. RNAcentral also lists the same sequence under 8 other names.
GGCCCCAUCGUCUAGUGGCCUAGGACACCAGGUUCUCAUCCUGGUAACCGGGGUUCAAAUCCCCGUGGAGUCACAA